Molecule: non-coding RNA, 113 nt
Organism: Podarcis lilfordi (Lilford's wall lizard)
Lineage: Eukaryota; Metazoa; Chordata; Lepidosauria; Squamata; Lacertidae
Source: the annotation of a GenBank genome assembly
GAGUUCUCGCUGCGCUCCGCAGGCUUCGGGUUCCUUUUGCUGAAGCCGGGAGAGUAAGACUCUCCCGGCUUCAGCAAAAGGAACCUGAAGCCUGCGGAGUGCAGCGGGAACUC